RNAcentral lists this long non-coding RNA (218 nucleotides) under Solanum tuberosum (potato). RNAcentral's name for it is "long non-coding RNA (STUB_LNC008412)". The record is from RNAcentral. Lineage: Eukaryota; Viridiplantae; Streptophyta; Magnoliopsida; Solanales; Solanaceae.
UUGCGGAGUGGACUUUUGGUUCUGAUGAGCGUCCUUAGUCUCUUUUUCUUGAUUCCGGUUUCUUCUCAUGUAAACCUGCAAUUCCUUUGUUUGUUCCAUAUCCUUGUCAUUAAUUGUAUCAUGAAAAGGCUCUACUGUCUCAGUUUCCUUAUUUUCAUUAUAUAAGUUGGAAUCUCUUACCUUAUCAAGGUUGCUACUACCAAAAGUACUUUUUCCCG